Molecule: ribosomal RNA, 366 nt
Filed under: uncultured bacterium
Lineage: Bacteria
Description: bacterial SSU rRNA
Rfam family: Bacterial small subunit ribosomal RNA
Source: RNAcentral
GAUGAACGCUAGCGGCAGGCUUAAUACAUGCAAGUCGAACGAACAGCAAUGUUAGUGGCGCACGGGUGCGUAACGCGUAUGCAACUUGCCUUUAACUGGGGGAUAACGUUUCGAAAGAGGCGCUAAUACCGCAUAAUACAGUGAAGACACAUGUUUUUAUUGUUAAAGCUCCGGCGGUUAAAGAUGGGCAUGCGUAGGAUUAGCUAGUUGGUAAGGUAACGGCUUACCAAGGCGACGAUCCUUAGGGGUUCUGAGAGGACGACCAGCCACACUGGGACUGAGACACGGCCCAGACUCCUACGGGAGGCAGCAGUGGGGAAUUUUGGACAAUGGGCGCAAGCCUGAUCCAGCAAUGCCGCGUGCAGG